CUUCCUCCUCACUUAUUUCUUCUCUAUAAGAGUUCCCUCUAUCUUCACCCAUUCCUCCACCACCUUCUAUUCCUCCUCCUCAUCAUCAUCCUUCCUCCUCUGUAGCCGAUAUUUUUCUUUCUUCCUUCUCCUUACUGCUUCCUAUUUCUCCUCCUCCAUAGUAACUUCCUCUAUCUUUGUCCAUUCUUCCACUAUCUCCCCAUCCUCCUCCUCAUCUUCAUCCUUCUCC
RNAcentral lists this long non-coding RNA (229 nucleotides) under Elaeis guineensis (African oil palm). RNAcentral describes it as "long non-coding RNA (EGUI_LNC023558)". Lineage: Eukaryota; Viridiplantae; Streptophyta; Magnoliopsida; Arecales; Arecaceae. The record is from RNAcentral.